AAUAAGUUUUGCACUAUUCAUCUCCAACGUUUGACUGUUCGUCUUAUUUGAAAUUUUUUUAUGAUUAUUAUUUUUAUUGUUAUUAGAUGAUAAAACAUGAAUAAUACUUUAUGUGUGACUAAUUUUUUUAAAAAAAAUUUAUAAAUUUUUCAAAUAAGAUGGACGGUCAAACAUUGGACACGGAUUUUCACAGCAGCAUUUACU
RNAcentral lists this microRNA precursor (204 nucleotides) under Oryza nivara. RNAcentral's name for it is "MIR812 microRNA precursor family". It matches the Rfam family "MIR812 microRNA precursor family". Lineage: Eukaryota; Viridiplantae; Streptophyta; Magnoliopsida; Poales; Poaceae. The record is from Rfam by way of RNAcentral.